AGCAGUCGCCGCGGUAAUACAGAGGGUGCGAGCGUUAAUCGGAUUUACUGGGCGUAAAGCGUGCGUAGGCGGCUUUUUAAGUCGGAUGUGAAAUCCCUGAGCUUAACUUAGGAAUUGCAUUCGAUACUGGGAAGCUAGAGUAUGGGAGAGGAUGGUAGAAUUCCAGGUGUAGCGGUGAAAUGCGUAGAGAUCUGGAGGAAUACCGAUGGCGAAGGCAGCCAUCUGGCCUAAUACUGACGCUGAGGUACGAAAGCAUGGGGAGCAAACAGGAUUAGAUACCCGGGUAGUCCCUGUCUCUUAUAA
Molecule: ribosomal RNA, 303 nt
Filed under: uncultured bacterium
Lineage: Bacteria
Description: partial 16S ribosomal RNA
Rfam family: Bacterial small subunit ribosomal RNA
Source: RNAcentral